RNAcentral lists this transfer RNA (74 nucleotides) under Rhizobiales bacterium NRL2. RNAcentral's name for it is "tRNA-Gln". It matches the Rfam family "tRNA". Rfam says of the family: Transfer RNA (tRNA) molecules are approximately 80 nucleotides in length. Their secondary structure includes four short double-helical elements and three loops (D, anti-codon, and T loops). Further hydrogen bonds mediate the characteristic L-shaped molecular structure. tRNAs have two regions of fundamental functional importance: the anti-codon, which is responsible for specific mRNA codon recognition, and the 3' end, to which the tRNAs corresponding amino acid is attached (by aminoacyl-tRNA synthetases). tRNAs cope with the degeneracy of the genetic code in two manners: having more than one tRNA (with a specific anti-codon) for a particular amino acid; and 'wobble' base-pairing, i.e. permitting non-standard base-pairing at the 3rd anti-codon position. Lineage: Bacteria; Pseudomonadati; Pseudomonadota; Alphaproteobacteria; Hyphomicrobiales. The record is from RNAcentral. RNAcentral also lists the same sequence under 2 other names.
UGGGGGAUCGUCUAAUGGUAGGACAGCGGACUCUGACUCCGCCAAUCUAGGUUCGAAUCCUAGUCCCCCAGCCA